RNAcentral lists this ribosomal RNA (597 nucleotides) under Listeria marthii. Its description in RNAcentral is "bacterial SSU rRNA". It matches the Rfam family "Bacterial small subunit ribosomal RNA", at positions 1 to 579 of the family's 1533-position model. The record is from RNAcentral. Lineage: Bacteria; Bacillati; Bacillota; Bacilli; Caryophanales; Listeriaceae.
UUUAAAGAGAGUUUGAUCCUGGCUCAGGACGAACGCUGGCGGCGUGCCUAAUACAUGCAAGUCGAACGAACGGAGGAAGAGCUUGCUCUUCCAAAGUUAGUGGCGGACGGGUGAGUAACACGUGGGCAACCUGCCUGUAAGUUGGGGAUAACUCCGGGAAACCGGGGCUAAUACCGAAUAAUAAGAUGUGGCGCAUGCCACGCCUUUGAAAGAUGGUUUCGGCUAUCACUUACAGAUGGGCCCGCGGUGCAUUAGCUAGUUGGUAGGGUAAUGGCCUACCAAGGCAACGAUGCAUAGCCGACCUGAGAGGGUGAUCGGCCACACUGGGACUGAGACACGGCCCAGACUCCUACGGGAGGCAGCAGUAGGGAAUCUUCCGCAAUGGACGAAAGUCUGACGGAGCAACGCCGCGUGUAUGAAGAAGGUUUUCGGAUCGUAAAGUACUGUUGUUAGAGAAGAACAAGGAUAAGAGUAACUGCUUGUCCCUUGACGGUAUCUAACCAGAAAGCCACGGCUAACUACGUGCCAGCAGCCGCGGUAAUACGUAGGUGGCAAGCGUUGUCCGGAUUUAUUGGGCGUAAAGCGCGCGCAGGCGGU